Molecule: long non-coding RNA, 3990 nt
Organism: Choloepus didactylus (southern two-toed sloth)
Lineage: Eukaryota; Metazoa; Chordata; Mammalia; Pilosa; Megalonychidae
Exons: 2
Source: RefSeq, a predicted model, not a curated record
UGGUGAGGAUCUCUCCUUGUAGAAGGGGAUAAUUGGAUGUCUCCAACUUGAUGGACUUUCGGGUUGUACUAGAGCAUUGUCUCCUUUGAGUUGGUCCUUAAGUAGAUUUUGUCUUGCUGCCCCCCCCCCCCAACUGAGCUGUAUUUUGAAUCUUAAUUAAACUCAGAAAGUUAAGGGUGAUCCUGGAAGACAGAAGAAAGCUUCUGAGAAAAUGUCGGAGUAAAACACUAGGGGUUUGUGAAAUCUUUGUUUUCACAGUUAAGAUUUGUAGCCCGAUGUUACCAUUGACUGGAUUCCACUGUCUAGAUCAGGGGCCCUUUGGCUAAAUCUGACCCACCUCCUGAUUUUGUGAAUAAGAUUUUGUUGAAGGACAGCCAUGCUCAUUUGUUUCCGUAUUGUCUAUAGCUGUUUUUGUGUUACCAGCAACUUGAGUAGUUGCCCUGCAAAGCCUAAACUAUUUACUAUCUGUCCCUUUACAGAAAAAGUUUGCCAACACCUGGACUAGAUGAUUAACCCUUUUCAAACUUUCUGAACCCGAAGAACUUUAUAAUUGAAAGCUGUAGCUUGUGGACCUCUCUCUCUGUGGAGAUCAGCAUCUCAGUAUCCAGGGGGAAGCCAUCUCUUCACCCAAAGCUUCUACUAGAGACCAAGCGGCCCGGACCCCGCAGUGCAGACUGCUAAGCAGUAGAGUCCAGGGAGGAUUCGUUUCCGUUUGUGUUCACCUAGCGCUCAGCAGGGAGGGGCCGGCGGUUUACCGCUCUCUGGUGUUAGCAGCUGGAUGGCUCUGAUUUGGUAAAAACAAAUGGAAAUGGCUUUGACAUGGUGACUGUUAAAUAGAGAGCUUACUUUGAAGGCUCAAGGGAUGGAAUUUUUAGGUGGAGGAAUUUUCCACAACAGAAAAUCCCCUAGGUUCUUUUCUAGACUCCACCAGUCAUUCUAGCUAUAAAAUGUUAUGAUAUGUUGUCUUCUAGACUCCUCAGGCUGAAGUUGGCUCGUCAAAGGCAGGAUUCUCACAUGGGUUCUAAUGAGGGGUUACGGUGAAUGGUGCCUAAAUGUGGGACAGCACCACCCCUUUUCAUUGUCCUCUGUCAGUGGGGGCAUUUGUUGGAACUCAUGCAGAUGGUUGCAGUGAGCAAGAGAGAUUUAUUAUUGUCAUUUUUAAGAAAUGGAAUCCAGAUUUUGUGAAACAGUCUCAUACAUUUAAAAACUAUUAACAAGUAUGAGCAAAUUAGAUAUUUUUAGUCUAAUAUUCAGUGGUAAUGGUGAUAAAACUUUCUUAACUUCCAGUCUUAAACCAGCUAGUGGUUAAAAUUAGAUUUUUAAGUCCCUUUCAGAGUUGAGUCAGGAUGAAAAGUUCCUUUCACCUUUUGAAACAUCAUGAUGCUGGGCAUGUAACAAACGUUGUGACUUUAAAUCUAGAAUACCUGGCCCGGUUUUGAUUUUUAAGCCAGAGGACCCAUUACCAAGAACAAAAUUGCUUUUUCUCCUGAACACAUACAGCUGGCCACCUUGGUAUGUACCAGUAAAAUGUAUUUCAGGAAUGACCUUCAAUUUUCUGUCAAUAUUUAUAUUAUAUAAUCACCUCCCUAAGGUUUAUUACAAGGAUUCAUAUAUAUAUAUAUAUAUAUAUAUAUAUAUAUAUAUAUAUAUAUAUAAAUUUUGAGAUAUGAAAAGUACAUUCUCAAGCUAUCAGAGUCAUCCCUAAAUUUGUUCUCCUUGAAACAAAAAUGAAAGUGUCAUAUUCCCAUGCAGGGAAUCCCCCAAAUGUUACUAAAGUAUAAUGUUAAAACUACUUGUUUUUUAAAACUUGGGGUCUUGUUCCUGAAAUCAUGUGUUGAAAUUACAGUUAAGGAUAGUUGCCAUUUUAUUUUACCCUACAAAAACAUCACCAUGGUCAAUUCAGAUCUUGUAUAAAUUUGAAAUUGUACCAGUUCUACAGUAAUAUAAGAAAAUGACUUUUUCCUUCAUGUAGAAAAGUAUAUCAUUCUUAAGAUUUUAAAUCCAUGCUUCCCAGUUAUGAAAUACACUACCUUCCUGUAAAGGAAAACAUACUCAUGUGGGAUCACUACACUUGGGGUCCUGGAAUGCCUGAUUACCAUUUCCUCUCUGAUUGCUGACAAGACUUACACUAGUGGGAUCUUGGAGCUCCUUUUUAAGAACCUGGUGCUCAUUAAGUAGAGGAAAAAAUUCUAAAAAUAAUCUAACCUUUUGGGAACUUCAACUCCCAUUUUAAUUAAAAACAUUUGUGACACCUUCACUCUUAUUCUAAAAUAUACCAUAUAUUGUAGGUACAGUGAUUUUGAAACUAUUUUGUUCUGAGAAACUUUAGAUUUUAAUGACAAUAUUGGAAAAACUCCUGGAAUGACAUUACAUUAAAAUUGAGAAUUAGUACUUUAGGAAUUAAACAACCAUUUUAUAUUUAAAUAUUCAUGGACAGCGAACAUCUGUUGCAUUGCAUGAUCAAAAUAUGAGAUUUCAGAUAUCUUAAGAGACCAAUUUGAAACAUUGUAAUGAGCCUCAUAUCAUAAAUCGGCAAACCCAGUGAAAAACUAUUAAAAUAUAUAUAUAUAUAUAUACAUGUAUAAACUUGAUUAGAUCUCAACUGAAACUUUUGUCACUUGAGGUCACCAGUUGAAUUUCUUACACGGAUAUAAGUUUAGGUUUUAGUCUGCCCUGUUUUAGUGCCAGCGUAACAAAUGAGGGCCAUACAGGCUAUUGUUCAAUGACAAAAUGGUUCAAACUCAUGAUUUAAAAUAAUGUUUAAAAAUAUGGUUUCUACCCUAGUCAAGAACUUGUAGUGUUACGUAAGACUUGAAAAUUUGAAAAUUAUUUUAUGUAACACCCUAUUAAACUAAUUUGAUCUUUUGCUUUUACAUGAUAGAGUGAUAGAGUUAGAAUCUUAAUGAAAGUGUCCUAUGUAUUUUCUGUAAAUUAUCCUAAAAGCAGUGAAAUGUCUCCAUACAUUUAUGUAUUUUCUCCACUAGAGGGCUCUGUUGCCCUUUGAUAUAAUUGAACAAAGAGGUGGCUUUGCAAUAUAGUGUUCUUCUUAGCCAGUCUUGCUUUCGUAUUUGUUAAAUUAUGACUUACUUUUCUAAUGCAUCUUUUAGGUCUUAUGCUUUUCAGUGAUAGGAUUCGAACUGAAGACUGUUGCUGGUGUAAUGUUCAUUUCCUUUUCUUUUUUUUCCCUCUUUCUUUUUGUUUUGUUUACAUAAAAUGCCAAGGAUGAAGAGAUCCAUUUAAUGAAAAGGUCCAUUGUAUUCAGGGAUCAGUCUGCUCUGCCAAAUUACACAAGAGCAUGUGUUUUCAUGACGUUAUUGGUUUUGAGUGUGGUGUCCUAUCAAUAAUGUAAUUUUUUUCUUCCUAAGUGGAAAUUGUAAUAUUUAAAUAUUAAUGCCUGUUUAAGGUUUAUUUAGAAACGCCUUUGUGACCUUCUAUGUUUUCAUGAGAACAUACUCUCUCCCUUGCCUCCUGCUACCCUAGCCUUUCCCAGUGUUAUAUAGUUUAUUGUAAGUAGAUUGUUUAUUAAUGAUAUAUUCUUCUAGGAGAAAAUGUGUUCUUUUGGUCUCCCUGUACGUUUCUUAAAUAAGAGUGACCCUCUUAAACCAAACACUGAAUAUGAAGCAGAUAGCUGGUACUCUACAUGUACAAAGUCUUUUAAAGGAGGGUUAAUUUUAAUUUUGGCUCUGUAACUAAAGUUUGAGGCAACCCAUUAAUUGAGGGCUUUAGCUCUCAAACAGAAAUUUGGCUCAGAAAAGAAAACAUUUUUAGCUUUAUAAAAUUGCUUAUUUUCAAAUUUUAAAAGGGGGCAAAAUGAAUAUGCUACAGUAUAUACUUUGUUUAUAUGAUGCUUUUUCUUUUUUUGAAAAUGAGUCUGAAAACAUGGUGAAUAUACUUGUAACAUUGCAAAAAUAUUCUAUCAAAGUGACAAUGCUCUGGUCAGUUUGUAUACAGAUGUGGCCAUUGUUUAUCAAAUAAAUUGUUAAAACCAGA